AACGCGAAGAACCUUACCUGGGUUUGACAUCACCGGAAAUCCUUCAGAGAUGGGGGGUCCUUCGGGGCCGGUGACAGGUGGUGCAUGGCUGUCGUCAGCUCGUGUCGUGAGAUGUUGGGUUAAGUCCCGCAACGAGCGCAACCCUCGUUCGAUGUUGCCAGCGCGUUAUGGCGGGGACUCAUCGAAGACUGCCGGGGUCAACUCGGAGGAAGGUGGGGAUGACGUCAAGUCAUCAUGCCCCUUAUGUCCAGGGCUUCACGCAUGCUACAAUGGCCGGUACAAUGGGCUGCGAUACCGUGAGGUGAGCGAAUCCCAAAAAGCCGGUCUCAGUUCGGAUCGGGGUCUGCAACUCGACCCCGUGAAGUCGGAGUCGCUAGUAAUCGCAGAUCAGCAACGCUGCGGUGAAUACGUUCCCGGGCCUUGUACACACCG
RNAcentral lists this ribosomal RNA (432 nucleotides) under Salinispora sp. zong16-4. Its description in RNAcentral is "bacterial SSU rRNA". It matches the Rfam family "Bacterial small subunit ribosomal RNA", at positions 958 to 1392 of the family's 1533-position model. Lineage: Bacteria; Bacillati; Actinomycetota; Actinomycetes; Micromonosporales; Micromonosporaceae. The record is from RNAcentral.